Molecule: ribosomal RNA, 1371 nt
Filed under: uncultured bacterium
Lineage: Bacteria
Description: bacterial SSU rRNA
Rfam family: Bacterial small subunit ribosomal RNA
Source: RNAcentral
GAUGAGCGCUGGCGGCGUGCCUAAUACAUGCAAGUCGAGCGAACGGACGAGAAGCUUGCUUCUCUGAUGUUAGCGGCGGACGGGUGAGUAACACGUGGAUAACCUACCUAUAAGACUGGGAUAACUUCGGGAAACCGUAGCUAAUACCGGAUAAUAUUUUGAACCGCAUGGUUCAAAAGUGAAAGACGGUCUUGCUGUCACUUAUAGAUGGAUCCGCGCUGCAUUAGCUAGUUGGUAAGGUAACGGCUUACCAAGGCAACGAUGCAUAGCCGACCUGAGAGGGUGAUCGGCCACACUGGAACUGAGACACGGUCCAGACUCCUACGGGAGGCAGCAGUAGGGAAUCUUCCGCAAUGGGCGAAAGCCUGACGGAGCAACGCCGCGUGAGUGAUGAAGGUCUUCGGAUCGUAAAACUCUGUUAUUAGGGAAGAACAUAUGUGUAAGUAACUGUGCACAUCUUGACGGUACCUAAUCAGAAAGCCACGGCUAACUACGUGCCAGCAGCCGCGGUAAUACGUAGGUGGCAAGCGUUAUCCGGAAUUAUGGGGCGUAAAGCGCGCGUAGGCGGUUUUUUAGUCUGAUGUGAAAGCCCACGGCUCAACCGUGGAGGGUCAUUGGAAACUGGAAAACUUGAGUGCAGAAGAGGAAAGUGGAAUUCCAUGUGUAGCGGUGAAAUGCGCAGAGGUAUGGAGGAACACCAGUGGCGAAGGCGACUUUCUGGUCUGUAACUGACGCUGAUGUGCGAAAGCGUGGGGAUCAAACAGGAUUAGAUACCCUGGUAGUCCACGCCGUAAACGAUGAGUGCUAAGUGUUAGGGGGUUUCCGCCCCUUAGUGCUGCAGCUAACGCAUUAAGCACUCCGCCUGGGGAGUACGACCGCAAGGUUGAAACUCAAAGGAAUUGACGGGGACCCGCACAAGCGGUGGAGCAUGUGGUUUAAUUCGAAGCAACGCGAAGAACCUUACCAAAUCUUGACAUCCUUUGACAACUCUAGAGAUAGAGCCUUCCCCUUCGGGGGACAAAGUGACAGGUGGUGCAUGGUUGUCGUCAGCUCGUGUCGUGAGAUGUUGGGUUAAGUCCCGCAACGAGCGCAACCCUUAAGCUUAGUUGCCAUCAUUAAGUUGGGCACUCUAAGUUGACUGCCGGUGACAAACCGGAGGAAGGUGGGGAUGACGUCAAAUCAUCAUGCCCCUUAUGAUUUGGGCUACACACGUGCUACAAUGGACAAUACAAAGGGCAGCGAAACCGCGAGGUCAAGCAAAUCCCAUAAAGUUGUUCUCAGUUCGGAUUGUAGUCUGCAACUCGACUACAUGAAGCUGGAAUCGCUAGUAAUCGUAGAUCAGCAUGCUACGGUGAAUACGUUCCCGGGUCU